Molecule: long non-coding RNA, 1318 nt
Filed under: Olea europaea (common olive)
Lineage: Eukaryota; Viridiplantae; Streptophyta; Magnoliopsida; Lamiales; Oleaceae
Description: long non-coding RNA (OEUR_LNC006820)
Source: RNAcentral
AGUCUGCUCUUGCAGUUAAAAUUGGCCCAAUGAGCAUCACCAGAGUAGACUUUGAAGCAGAGGCCGAACAAGAGCACAGUCAGCAGAAUACGUGAUAUUGAUGGUGUUGAACUCUGUCGUUAAUUAAUAGCUGCCUUUCGCUUUCCGUUUUUGAUCCAAACGUUGUCGAUAUAGGUAUGUAAAUUAUUUUCUGCUGGAUCUAAUUUCAGUAGAUAUGCCUAACGACCUACAUGAAUGAAUAUUCUAAUGCACCUAAAGGCCUACGUGAAUGAAUAUUCUAAUGGUUUUGUAAACUUGUCUCAAGACUCUUGGACUCGAUUGCAACAUAAAUGUGCCGGAAAGGAUGGCCAUGUUAGAUUCAAAGUGACUUCCAUAUUAUUGUUAACAUGUUUGGUAAGAUGGACUACAUGAUACUAGAAAGUAUAAUUGUUUGGGGUAAAGAAGAUAUGAUUCUGACAUGUUUAGUUUGAUGGGUUGGACAAUAAUAGAUCAUGUAAAUGAAGUUAUAAACUUGUUAAAAAACUAUCCAAUAUUUGUUCGGUCGGUUUCGGGGCCACGGUUAGUAUUGGAUGGUGCAAACUGGAUUUGGGUUACCUGAAAUUGAAUGCAGAUGAUAUAGUCUCUGUCGAAGAGGAUUUUAUUGAAAUGGGAUUCAUCAUGAGAGAUCAUAAUGGUCUGGUCGUGGUGGCCAGCUCUCGGCAGAUUAGGGGCCUUUUUGACCCUGAAGUUGCUGAAUCAAUUGCCCUGUGUUAUGGUCUCCAGUUGCAAAGGAAAAUGGCUUCAUGGAUUUGGAAGUUGAGUCCAAUGCUCACAGGGUAGUUCACAGUCGAAACCUCGUUUCUUUAUUGGCAUCUAAUGCUGCUAUUUUAAUGGUCCAUUUAAAUGGUUUUUACUAUGGUUUUGGUUCAUACUUGUCUGUUAUGUCAUUUUGUAGAGUGUCAAUGUAAAUGCCUUAAGAUACUUUUGAGCCCUUGCUGAUCUGUCAUUUUUUAUUCAUCUUGCAAACAUUUGCAAGAAGUCUGCUCUUGCAGUUAAAAUUGGCCCAAUGAGCAUCACCAGAGUAGACUUUGGCCGAACAAGAGCACAGUCAGCAGAAUACGUGAUAUUGAUGGUGUUGAACUCUGUCGUUAAUUAAUAGCUGCCUUUCGCUUUCCGUUUUUGAUCCAAAUGUUGUCGAUAUAGGUAUGUAAAUUAUUUUCUGCUGGAUCUAAUUUCAGUAGAUAUGCCUAACGACCUACAUGAAUGAAUAUUCUAAUGUACCUAAAGGCCUACGUGAAUGAAUAUUCUAAUGGUUUUGUAAACUUGUCUCAAGACUCUU